GAUGAACGCUGGCGGCGUGCCUAAUACAUGCAAGUCGAGCGAACGGACGAGAAUCUUGCUGCUCGGAUGUUAGCGGCGGACGGGUGAGUAACACGUGUAUAACCUACCUAUAAGACUGGGAUAACUUCGGGAAGCCGGAGCUAAUACCGGGUAAUAUUUUGAACCGCAUGGUUCAAGAGUGAAAUACGGGCUUGCUGUUACUUAUAGGUGGAUCCGCGCUGCAGUAGAGGGUUUGUAAGGUAAUGGCUUACCAAGGCAACGAGGGAUAGCCGACCUGAGAGGGGGAUAGGCCACACUGGAACUGAGACACGGUCCAGACUCCUAAGGGACGCAGCAGUAGGCAACCUUACGCAAUGGGCGAAAGCCUGACGGAGCGACGCCGCGUGAGUGACAAAGGUCUUCGGAUCGUAAAGCUCUGUUAUGAGGGAAGAACAUAUGUGUAAGUAACUGUGCACAUCUUGACGGUAACUAAUCAGAAAGCCACGGCUAACUACGUG
RNAcentral lists this ribosomal RNA (497 nucleotides) under uncultured bacterium. Its description in RNAcentral is "partial 16S ribosomal RNA". It matches the Rfam family "Bacterial small subunit ribosomal RNA", at positions 28 to 507 of the family's 1533-position model. The record is from RNAcentral.